This 405-nucleotide ribosomal RNA is filed under the name Triticum aestivum (bread wheat). RNAcentral describes it as "partial small subunit ribosomal RNA". The record is from RNAcentral. Lineage: Eukaryota; Viridiplantae; Streptophyta; Magnoliopsida; Poales; Poaceae.
AUGAAUUAUGAGUUUAAUAGAUCCUCUUUAGCAGAAAGACGUAUAUUCCUUGCUCAUUAUCAGACAAUCACUUAUUCCCAAACCUCGUGUGGGACUAAUCAUUUUCAUUUACCAUCUCAUGGAAAACCCUUUUCGUUCUGCUUAGCCCUAUCGGGUAUUUUAGUGAUAGGUUCUGUAGGAACUGGACGAUCCUAUUUCGUCAAAUACCUAACGAAAAAUUACAAUUUUCCUUUCAUUAAGGUACGAGGGCUUCCUAUUCCACAAGAACGAAAGCACCUUUUCAUUCUUUCAUAUACUAGGGUUUUUUACUUGGAAAAGACAAUGUUCCAUACUAAAGGAUUCGGGUCCAUAACCACGAGUUCCCAUUCUCUUUGGGUAUGUCCACCAUAUAGACGUCGUAUGUGA